GGUCGCGUGGCCCAGUGGUUAAGGCACUUGCUUUACAGCUUUUCCAAAGUGAUAUCGCAAGGGAUCGCAGGUUCGAGCCCUGCCGCGAUCA
Non-coding RNA from Podospora appendiculata, 91 nucleotides. NCBI's taxonomy places the organism in Eukaryota, Fungi, Ascomycota, Sordariomycetes, Sordariales, Podosporaceae. The record is from the annotation of a GenBank genome assembly.